This 445-nucleotide ribosomal RNA is filed under the name uncultured bacterium. Its description in RNAcentral is "partial 16S ribosomal RNA". It matches the Rfam family "Bacterial small subunit ribosomal RNA", at positions 354 to 796 of the family's 1533-position model. The record is from RNAcentral.
GUGAGGAAUAUUGGACAAUGGGCGCAAGCCUGAUCCAGCCAUGCCGCGUGCAGGAAGACGCAUCUAUGGUGUGUAAACUGCUUUUGUACGGGAAGAAACACUCCCUCGUGAGGGAGCUUGACGGUACCGUAAGAAUAAGGAUCGACUAACUCCGUGCCAGCAGCCGCGGUAAUACGGAGGAUCCAAGCGUUAUCCGGAAUCAUUGGGUUUAAAGGGUCCGUAGGCGGUUUAAUAAGUCAGUGGUGAAAGCCCAUCGCUCAACGAUGGAACGGCCAUUGAUACUGUUAGACUUGAAUUACAAGGAAGUAACUAGAAUAUGUAGUGUAGCGGUGAAAUGCUUAGAUAUUACAUGGAAUACCAAUUGCGAAGGCAGGUUACUACUUGUGGAUUGACGCUGAUGGACGAAAGCGUGGGGAGCGAACAGGAUUAGAAACCCCUGUAGUCC